AGGACGAACGCUGGCGGCGUGCCUAACGACAUGCAAGUCGAGCGGAGUUAACAAGAGGAAGUUUCGGAUGGAAUUUGUUAAUUAGCGGCGGACGGGUGAGUAACGCGUGAGCGACCAACCUUGCACAGGGGAUAACGGACCGAAAGGUUCACUAAUACCGCAUGAGACCACGGUGUGCAUGACACAGAGGUCAAAGGAGCAAUCCGGUGCAAGACGGGCUCGCGUCCGAUUAGGUAGUUGGUGGGGUAAUGGCCCACCAAGCCUAUGAUCGGUAGCCGACCUGAGAGGGUGAUCGGCCACAUUGGAACUGGGAUACGGUCCAAACUCCUACGGGAGGCAGCAGUGGGGAAUAUUGGGCAAUUGGGGGGAAACCCUGACCCAGCAACGCCGCGUGAAGGAAGAAGGUUUUCGGAUUGUAAACUUCUGUCCUUGGUGAAGAGAAGAAGACGGUAGCCAAGGAGGAAGCCCCGGCUAACUACGUGCCAGCCGCCGC
Molecule: ribosomal RNA, 493 nt
Filed under: uncultured bacterium
Lineage: Bacteria
Description: bacterial SSU rRNA
Rfam family: Bacterial small subunit ribosomal RNA
Source: RNAcentral